AGAGUUUGAUCCUGGCUCAGAUUGAACGCUGGCGGCAUGCCUUACACAUGCAAGUCGAACGGUAACUCGGGGCAACCUGGCGACGAGUGGCGAACUGGUGAGUAAUAUAUCGGAACGUGCCCAGUAGUGGGGGAUAGCC
This 139-nucleotide ribosomal RNA is filed under the name uncultured beta proteobacterium. RNAcentral's name for it is "partial 16S ribosomal RNA". It matches the Rfam family "Bacterial small subunit ribosomal RNA", at positions 8 to 148 of the family's 1533-position model. Lineage: Bacteria; Pseudomonadati; Pseudomonadota; Betaproteobacteria. The record is from RNAcentral.